Molecule: long non-coding RNA, 1524 nt
Filed under: Volvox carteri
Lineage: Eukaryota; Viridiplantae; Chlorophyta; Chlorophyceae; Chlamydomonadales; Volvocaceae
Description: long non-coding RNA (VCAR_LNC001619)
Source: RNAcentral
AGAUCUAAGUACGUUCCCCGAACAAACGGGAUGCGCAAUCGACGUUAGACUNUCAGAACCGAGCGAAAAGACAGAAAUCCCUGCUCCGAAUAUUAACGCUUACAGUCCAUCAUCCUUACUUAGCGUUCCAUGCACCGCGGAGCUAACUCUUCAUCCGUUUCCUUCCUUACAAUGCACAUCCGUCAGGGCCAGAGUCUUUGUGGCAAUCUUUCAUAUUCAGCACGCAAUGAACCCUUCAUGGACACCAGCUGCAUUAGCCUGGCUUGUCGUCCUUGCGGCAGCCUGGGCAAAUGGCCCAACGCGAUUUAAGUAUGCUGCUGCUUGCGGCCAAGAAACAAGCAUUCCAAAACUGUCAUAUCAUCCCCUGGUUUCGUUGUAUUUGGUUUGCAUACAAGUCGACGCGGAUACUACCUGCAGUGACCGCCGUAUCAGAAGACACUUUUCCUGUACUGGCGGAACCAACAACAGCGAAGUUCAAAAAACCCGACUAGUAGCUAAAAGUCAGCAUUCAUAGAGUUAAACGUCCCCGUCCGUGACUUGUACAUAACAAUCCAAGCAUCUCCUAAGCGUCUUUCUCCCCCUUCGUAAGGCCAUCGCGUCCACCAACGCACGUCUUACAUCCGCCCAGUACAGUGCCGUUGAAGCUGUGACGAGUAUUAUGAACGCCUAAAUAAUUCAUGAACAUCCGCUACGUUUGCCUAGCAUUGUCGUAAAGGAGGUCGCGUCGGCAUCAGGCCAUCAACGUUGCGCCCAGGACAACACUUGCUGCAGCCAAGAAACAGAAAGUGUAUAUGUAUUCGUUCAUCCCCCUGGUCUUAGGGUUGCCCCUCAGACGACGUAGAUACCACCUCCUGGCACCGCCGUACCGGAAAGCACUUUUCCGGUACGGGCAGAGCCAGCAGCAUUCCAGGUUCAGAAUUGAACCCAAAGGCAGAAAUCACCAUUCUGAGAGUUGAACGUCGCCAUCCAUGAUUUAGACAUACCAUUCCAUGGCCUGUGCAUGCGCGUCCGUGUCCUUCACUACGUUGCCAUCACGUCCACCAACGCACACUUGACAUCCGUCCUGUCCGGAGCCGUCGUCGCGAGCUUCGACAACAUGAAUGUAAGCAACAUUCGGAACAUCCGUCCUGUUUGCAUGGGAUUGUCGUCCUCCCGCCGGCGGAAAAGCCACUCAACGUAUUGCUUAAGAAUUCCUUCCCAAGCCUAUAACACAAACAUAAUAACAUUGUCCUAGCAUUCCAUAGCCCUACUUGACUUGCCUACAAGUCCACAGCAACGAGUUGCCCCGGUCGGACCCUCCAAGUCUAGCCCAGUAGCUUACUGUGGGCUGACGUUAGUGAACAUGGAAUGCAAGCUGUGUGUGUGCUCAUCCCCUUUGAAAAAGGUUUGACUACGACUUGACACACAGACUCCCUCCUGCAACAAAUGCCCAUUUUCUGUACGAGCGUGACGAGCAACAUAAGAGAUCCAGAACCGACCACACCGGCAGAAUUCAUCGUUCAGUUCCUUAAACCUUCAUUUACG